Molecule: long non-coding RNA, 1099 nt
Organism: Oreochromis aureus
Lineage: Eukaryota; Metazoa; Chordata; Actinopteri; Cichliformes; Cichlidae
Exons: 2
Source: RefSeq, a predicted model, not a curated record
GAGUGCUCUGAUCUUGGUUACACGUAAUAAUUACCGUAUUUGAUCCUGGUUGGAUUUCUGCAGACAUGGAGCUUCUACCACUUCUGUUUCCGAGCUUCUGUUUCCUGACUUUGUCCGGACUGACGUUUGCUGCUGAAUCCGCUCCACCUGCUGCCAGUUUUAAAGGGAGUGGCACAGCCAGGCCCCAAAAGGAUGGAGAGUGGCUGUACCCUGUUUCCAUUUCCUGAGGUUUUUACAGUCGUGGCCCAUUAACAUGAGGCUGUUACUGACUCUGAUGUGCAGGUUCAAACUGGCAGAGCUCAGCUGGUGAAAAGGACACAGACUGGAUGUGUUUCAAAUCUUUAUCAGUGAAAACAUUAAUAAUGUCACUCGGUCUGCAUAUUUUCAAUUGCGCAACAUUAAUUGUCUCCGUCCUUUUCUCACCCCACAUGCCACUGCCAUUCUUGUCCAUAGCCUUGUUACUUCCUGGAUUGAUUAUUGUAAUUCACUUCUUUUUGGUCUUACACAAAAAUCCAUCCACAAGCUUCAACGCGUCCAGAACUCUGCUGCCCGUAUCAUCACCAGGACCCCUUCUGUCCACCACAUCACUCCUGUCCUGCAGCAGCUUCAUUGGCUCCCGGUCAAAUAUCGUAUCAAUUUCAAAAUACUCUUGUACACAUUUAAAGCUAUUCAUCAUCUCUCUCCUCCAUAUCUCUCUGAUCUGGUUAACAUCACUGCCCCAUCUCGUUGUCUCAGAUCUUCUUCUUCCCUGUCACUCUCUGUCCCCUCCCCCCAUCUUGUCACCAUGGGGAGCAGGGCUUUCAGCUGCUCUGCUCCACGACUCUGGAAUUCCCUACCUCCUGAUUUAAGAAAUAUCUCUACCUUCUCUUUAAGUCCCAACUCAAAACCCACUUGUUCAAAAUAGCCUAUCCUACAUAACCUCUCCAUUCGACUAUUUUUAAUCUGUUUAUAUCCUAUACUUUUAUGAUUGUGUAAACUCCUUGCUUUUAUGUUGCUUUUACUCUAUUGUGUACAGUGACCUUGAGUGUUUUGAAAGGCGCUUUCAAAUAAAAUGUAUUAUUAUUAUUAUUAUUAAAAAUCUUUGGCCUCACAGUGUUGA